UGGGGCUUGGCCACAUCCAUGAGCUGCACAGAGCCAUUCCUGGAAAAGGCCAGCACCUGGGAAGCAAAGGGAUGGCAACGGGGACUUCUCUGUCACCCCCGUUUGGAAUAAGAGAGGCAGCUGGACAUCCAGGCCAGCAACAGAGAGAACGGAUUUGCUCGGGGAGCAGAGAAACAUGUGUGUUUACUUCUCCGGUGUCCCCAGCAGCAACCGGCCCUUUUCCAGGUGCCGUGUCUGAUGCCGGGUGGCGCUCCCCACUCCUGCCCCAGCUUCUCUUCUGGCUCACCAGCAUCCCUGUCCAGGAGCUGGCCCUCCACGUGGCCGGAUGCAGUGCUGCCCUCGGCACACGUAUGCUUUCCUCCCCAUCCUCGGAGACCCCGCUCCAUCCCACGGCCCUUCCUGGCCCGGGUUCGGAGACCGGCCUCUCUCCUGCCUGGCUCCUUCCUCCCUGUAGAUGAACCUGCUAGAUGCGCCUGAUCAAGUGGUCCUCCAGCUGCCACACCACCUCCCCGCCCCUCACACUCCAACACCUGAGAGCGCGUCCUCACCUUCUCUGCCUCGUCCUGUCACUUCCUCCCGAAAGCAGCCCCCCACCCCCACUGACUUCUGCAGGCUGAGGUGUGGUGACCCCUGUCUCUGUUCUGUGGCAUCCAGGGCCCAGCGCAUCACAGCCUCUCUCGUCUCCCAGGGCAGCUGUGCGGUGAUUCGUCUGCCUUCCCAGCUGAACCGUGCCAUCUGCGAGGGCGGUGGCUUGUUCUUUCGUCCCUGUGCGCCCCAAAGCUAGUCUAGUGCCUCGCACUUGACAGGCCUUCAACAAACAGUCUUUGAAGGGAAAACGAACACGCUUGCUGAAGAGGAGCGAGGGCCGUGAGGAACCUACCAUGCCAGGUCCAGAGACAGAACAUCACCUGCUCCCUGGAAGCUUCGCAGGGGCCCGUCUCCAGUCACAACCUCCUGGCGAGAGCAGCACCCAUUCUCUUGGCUUUUCCAUAAGCACUGCACAAGUUGGGGGUGCUCCACUUCCUUGAGCCAAGACUCCUUGGGCAAUCUGUACACAUCCAGCCAAAUCUCUCCGGCUCCUGCAUUGGGAAACCACGGACCCGUUGAGCAAUCACGAGCAGGCGAGAAGUCGCCUGUGAGGGAUGGCCUGUCUUCUCAGAACCCCUGGCCCAGAGACCUGCUGGCGCCCUCGGAACGGCAACUUUGACAAACGGAAGGAGAUGUCAUUGCAAGUCCUUGCUCCUGGAGAGCUGGUGAGCCCCGACCUAUGGGCCUCUGCCACCUGAAGGAAACAGGGCUCCUCCCACUCACAGCGCUGAGAUGACCGUUUUUUAACCAAGCUGCCUGCUCUGGCCGGUCCCCAUGUUUUCUAGGCUCCAAAUGGUAAAUUUCAGUGACAUUCUGUCCCACAGCUUUUCCCGUCUGGGGAGGACGGUGGUAUAAACAGCCUCAGUAACUGAGAGGGGCACGGCUGAGGGCUAGAAUUGGGAGAGAUCGCUCAAGAGCAUUCUUGGGGCUGAUAUUAGAGGAGGUCACAACCCACGGAAGUGGCUGUGGGGCUUUAACUCAUCAUAGAAACGCACUCAGCUCCUAUCUGGAAUUCCUGUCAACCUGGGAAGGCUUGCGUUCCCAUGGUGUGGACAUCUGGCUCAGUGUUUCCUCUAGAAAGUAAUCAUCUGGACACCUGGGUUUCAGACUUCCGCCCCCCAGUCCUGUGAGAGAAUAAAUAUCUUUGGUUUUGAGCCACCCGGUUUGUGGUGCUUGGUUGGGGCAGCCCCAGGAACUACUAAAGAGUAUAAAAGCUUCCUUUGAUGCAUAAAACAUUAUGAAGUAUACGCUUUCUCUCAAGCACUUCACAUUUGAGGGGCCCGGGGCAAGAAUAUAAAUAGAGGCCCAAAGUUAAAAAUCAAGCAAACAGUCACUUGAAUAAAAUAUGUCCUAUCACCAUAGUAAUGAUUACAGCAGGUAGGAUCCAAGGAUGAAUGCUGGAACUGGUGACCAUCCUUUAAGGGGACCCAGGAUACGUGCGUUGCCUCGUGUUUAUCAUUACUGUGGUGGUUUCAAUAUAUGCCCCCAAAUUCUUUGAUCCUCCUACCUCAAAGAGGUAGAGAGGCUUCAAUCCUCUGCCCCAGAGUGUGGUCCAGGUAUAGUGACUUGCUUCUAACAGAGUACGGGAAGGGAAGUGUUUUAUCAAUGGAGGAAUCUGGCAGACACCUGUUGGGCAGGUGAUGUCGCUAGCACAUACACCCUGAUAUACAGUGACGAGAGCACUUUGCCCCUGUGGCAUCUCCCCCAAAUCCUUAGCCCCAGUUGAAUCAUGAGAAAAAUAUCAGGCAAAUUGAAAUUGAGAGACAUUGUGCAAAAUAUCGAAUCGGUAUUCUUCAAAAAAGCGUCGAGGUCAAGAAAAACAAAGACCAAGAAAUUGUCAUAGAUGGGAGUAGACUAAGAAGACACGAUGAGUAAAUAUAAUAUGAUAUCCUGAACUGAGCCUUGGAACAGAACUAUUAGUGGAAAAACUGGCGAAAUCUGGGGGGAAAAAAAACCUUUAGUUAAUAGUAUUAUACCAAUGUCAUUGCUUAAUUUUGACAAAUGGUCACAUUAAAUGUCGGUAUUGGGGAAGCUGGGCGAAGGGUGCAGGGGAACUCUGUACCUAUCUUUGUAGCUCUUCUGUAAAUCUUUGCAACGUUUCUGUAAAUAAUUUCUAAAUAAAACGUUUGGAAAAAAGGUGGUCGUCUGCAAGAGACUACACAUCUGAACCUUCUCAACCACCUUUGGUUAAUCUUGCCUUGUAGGAGGAAGGCUGCGAAGUCGCCUCCGUGGGAGAUCUCCGUCUUCAGACAGGUGGUUUGCUUGCUGGUAUCGUCCUGGGAAGAAGAGAGGGGCGGAAAGAGGGAGCUCAGCCUGAGGGCGGACGGGAGUGUGUUUCGGGGUCUCUUGGGGUUCAUACCAGGAAACAUGAGUCCUUUUAAAGCUCAUGACACAAAAAAGAUGUCUCAAAAUGCUUCAUAUUUCCCAUUUUUGUACAGGAGUUGGUCAAGAUCAUAUGUAAAGAAGCAGAACUCGAUUUUCUGCCUAAACGUUUUUGGACUUAUUUCCUGGUUUUUUAAAUAUUCCAGAUGGUUGUGGUGAUUGCAUACUAUCUGUUCUCCUGGUCAUAUCUGCAAACUCUAAAGACCUGUGCCAGCACUCAGUUAUUCAAAAUGAGAUGAAGAAAGUUCUACUGAAAACUCUGGUCAGCCACUUGAAGAAAGGCUCCAUCUGGACCUUAGCAGUGCCUCUGUCUGUUCCGGCUGCUAUAACAAAAUACCAUAGACUGGAUGGCUCACAAACGAUGAACCUUUAUCUCUCACAGUCCUGGAGGCUGGAAAUCUAAGAUUUCCAAAGACUUCAAGAACCUGGCCGAUGCAGUGCCUGCUAAGGGCCUGUUUCCUGGUUCACAGAUUUCCUGCCUGCCACCUUCCCGGUGUGUCCUUACAUGGCA
Leopardus geoffroyi (Geoffroy's cat) is the source of this 3481-nucleotide long non-coding RNA. RefSeq lists it as uncharacterized. The record is from RefSeq and is a predicted model, not a curated record. Lineage: Eukaryota; Metazoa; Chordata; Mammalia; Carnivora; Felidae. The transcript has 3 exons.